GAAACUCAAAAAAAGAAUCAAACUGAAGCAAUUAAAAAUAAUAGAAUAUGAUGACCAUCUCUUAUCACACAUUCAGGUAACAUGAUUGACCUAUAACAAUAUUAAAAAAACAAAAACAAAAAGCUAAUAGAUGGUCGGCACGUGUUCAACUUUAUCUACCUUAAGGAAAGGAUAGAAAGUGGGAGAGAGAGAGGUUAAAAGGCUUAAAAAAAGAAAAGAGCAGGAAAGACAGAAAUAAAAGAAAGGUUGAGAUAAGAGAGGGACGUGGAAAUAGAAGGAGAGGCUGAGGGAGGCAAAACGGAAGAAGACAUUGGAAGAUCGGAGGAGAGUAGAGAAAACAAUAUGAAUAUGUGAUGCUCGUUUAUCUAUUUGAUUGGGAUUUUUUUGUGCCUUUGAUAAAAAUACUCUGUUUUUUUUUUUAUCUCUUUGAUUGGGAUUUUUUUGUGUCUCUUUUAUUUGGAAUUUCUUUGGACACUUUAAUAAUAUAAUAACAAAGAAAAUUAAAAUAUUGGUGAAAUUAUUGUUCAUUCAAACAUAAAUUUACUGUGAACUACAGUAGUAUUUUUUUUCAUACUCUUCCAAAUAAUGCAGGAAAUGAGGACCUGAAAUGACAGCAGCGAAUAACGUGUUUGUUCUUGUUUCUUCUAAAGUAUUUAAAAAAAACAAUUAAAUUAAAUUUUAAUUUUAUUUCAAAUUAAUUUUUGAAAAAACUAAUUUGAAAAUUAGUAUGAAAAAAAAGGAUAAUAGAGUAGGUGUCCAAAUCAAAACACAUAAAUAUAGGACAAAAACAGGGAGAGAGGCUCUUUGUUUUUUUAACUGUAUUGGUUUAUAGUGUUUUAUGAAUAUUUUAGAUAAAAAAUAGGUUAAAAGCAAGUUUUUAAAUAAAAAAUCAAGCUUUAUUAUUUUAUAUAAUUCAAAUAAAAUCAAUUUAUUUAAUUGUUUAGAAUUAUAACUCAAGUUAUUUAACGUCUUUUUAGAAAAAAAAAAAAAAAACACUUGUAACAUAGUGCAGUACAAACAGAAGAGACAUAACCAUAGUGGCAAAAAUCUUAAAGGGUUCUAAACUUCUAAAUUAUUUCUGUUACUUUCCCUCAAUUUUCUAGACAAGCAAAAGGAGCUAAACUUAUUCCCGACCAAAACGUCAAGAAUUUCAGUAGAACAAAAGAAGAGAUUAUUACUUGACCAAAAACAAGCAGUCAUCACCCAAAGAAACCGAGUCAAUGAGAGAAAAAGAGUGAUAGCUAGAAAACAAUCAACAGAUCCAAGAAUUUUCUGUAUGGUUUCCAAGAAAAUGAAACGAAACAAAGAUAGACAAAGAUAGUUCGAGGAAGUGGGCAGCCUUUUUUCUGCUGUUCACGCAGACUAAGAACUCCUACCAUCGUAAAAUCAUAUAAUUAAAACACAACAAUAAAACGCAGCCUUUUUUCUGCUGUUCACGCAGACUAAGAACUCCUACCAUCGUAAAAUCAUAUAAUUAAAACACAACAAUAAAAAAGUAAUGAGCUGCUAAUUAUGUGCGAAAACCAGAGAAUACAGAACGUGAGAGUGAGUCAUUGUUGCAAGUAAAAGAGGCGCAGAGAGAAUGGGAAUAGGAAUUUCAUUACCUUAACUUGAGAAAAUAUGUGCGAAAAGCAGUGGUACUGAUUGCUCAAUGAAAAUAUGUGCGAAAAGCAGUAGUACUGAUUCAACAGCAACAAGGCAAGGUCUAAGCAUUUCGAUGACAUAAUUAAGAUAAUAUGUGCGAAAAGCAGUGGUACUGAUUGCUCAAUGAAAUGGAGAAGGCCUUUAGCUCUCUAUGGAAUCCAGCUUCAAAAGCAACAAGGCAAGGUCUAAGCAUUUUGAAGACAUAAUUAAGAUAACAUGCGUAGUAUAUAACAAAGAGACAGUGACAAAGAAAUGAAGAAAAAAAAUGCGUACAAGUACUCACCUAGCAAAGAAAGAAACGGAUGAAAGGUUCAGGAUAAUCACUUAGACGUCUCCAUGGAUGAUACCAGCUUGCUUCCAACAACAAAUAUAAUUAAUCUAAGCUAUGAUCGGUCAAUGUUUUUUUUAGUUUUUUUCUCUUUUUAAAAAAAAAAAACAGAUCAUCAAGGGAAAAGACUUGCAAAGAAGUAGAAUUAAUGGAACGAACACAACAAAGAAUCAAACUCAAGCAAUUAAAAGUAAUUGUCUAUGAGUACCAUCUGUGUCAUACACUCAAGUGAGGAGAGAAAAGAAGGAAAAAAAAAGGAAAGGGACAGGGAAGGCAGAAAGUAAGGUCACGUAGGGCUAGUCUUGUAGAAAGUUUGAAAAAUAGCACGAAAGAAGAGGAUAAUAGUAUAACAUUUAAUUUUACUAUAUUGAAAAUAUGUUGACCAAUAGAAUCCCCGCCUCAGCCAACCCCAAAUCUGUCUAUCAUCGUGUAAUAUUGAUUAUUACAUUAUGCGGUUUCCAGCUAAUGAUAGGAUAUAAAAUAUUUUUUUAUAUUCUAAAAUAAUUUUUUUAUUAUAUUAAAAAUAAUUUUUUAAAAAUAAAAAAAUAUUAUUUUAACAUAUUUUGAAGAAAAGCUAAAAGAACUAUGUUUAUGAGAAAGGACCAGGUAAUCCAAGGAACCAAUAGAUUAUCGCCACAUGUUCAACCUUAUCUCCACAUGUUCAACCUUAUAUUUUAUUGUGACAUAUUCCCGUUUGCUAUUGUUGCCUCUCUCUUUUUCCUUUUUUUCCAUAUGAUUCAAAUAAAAUUAGCUUAUUUAGUUGGUCAGGGCUAUAACCGAAGUUAUUUAAUGUCUUUUUCAAAAAAAAUUUUUUUUUUUUAAUAUAAUAGUGAUAUUUGUGUUAAAGGAUUUACUAGUAGUGAGUUUGAAGUUUACUAUUAUGAUAAAUUAGAAAAAAUCGUUGAACUGCAAUACCAUAACAAGUAUAAUAAAAUGUUUUUAUUCAAAUGUUUUUUGAUUCUCCAAAAUUUUCUUCAAUGUUAUUUUUAUUUCUAUUUUGAUUCAUAAAAAAAAAUUAAGAAAAAAAAUUUAAAAUUUAAAAAUAUAUUUUUCUCAGAUCAACCGUAUUUUUCAUGAAAAAUAAACCUAUCGGGUCAAUAUGGGUAAACUAUGUUGACUGGGGUAAAAAUUGAAUUUCAAGCUACUUUGAGUCAAAACUAUUAUUUUUUAUCAAAACUCAGUCAGUUGGGUUGAUAUCAAUUGAAAAAUAUUUUUUGAUGUUUGAAAUUAUUAUUUUAGUAAUUAAAACUGAUUUUUAGCGGUUGAGAGGUGUUUUUUUUAAUAUUGGUUUAAGUUUUUAGUUUUUUAUAUAUAUAACAAAUCAAUAACACAAAGUUUUAUUAAAGUAGUUGGUGCAGCUGGGACAGGUAAAAAAAUUUCAUCAGGACAACGCCGUGUCCCCUAGUUAUAAAAUUUUGUGUCCCCUCAGUAUCAACUAUAAAAGGCAGUGAAAAAAGAAAAGUGAACAAUUCAAAAAAAUAUCAAAUGAUCUAAUACGAUUUAUUACGCUAGAUAAAAACUCAAAUUCAUCUCAGUUCUUAACCAAAUCUGACUUUGGAUCUAAUUUUACCACAUCACUAAGGUGCACAAGAUUUUUGAUACACCCAGUGACAUGAUAAAAUUAGAUCCAAGGUCAGAUUUGGUUAAGGAUCGAUGAAGAUGGAUUUGGGUUUUCAUCUUGUGACAAGCUCUUUUAAAGGACGAUACCAAUUUAUUUAGAUUUUGGACCAAUUUUCAAAAAGCCAACUGAAUUUGACUUUGACAAAUUAUUUUAUAAUUGUUUAUUGGUUUAAAAUCUAAAAUUACAAUUUAGAAAGUCUCAAAUUACUUUUAGAUAGAAAUGAUUUGAUAUCAACCAAAGUUGACUUGCUUCUCAAGAAGUUUCCUGUCCAUAAACAGUUCCGACAGAGUCGAGUAAUGUGCCUGAUGAUCGAGUAAGGUGCCUGAUGAAUACUAAUCCAAAACUGAACCAUUCCGUGCAAAGCAGACUUGACAAGCUCAAGCCUCCCGACAUAGGUAAGAUUCUUUCCCAUCCAGCCAUGAAUGCCCGCUUCAAGCUUGUGUAGCAAGGGAGACUACUGACUAGCUAAAAGCCUUGAGAGUUAUAUUUAGAUUUCUUUUUCUUUAUCUUGCUAAAAAAAGUACAUCUAGCUCGAUAACUUUUCUUCAAGCCAUGAAUUUGUUGUUUAUAAGAAAUUGAAAAUGAGAAUAUCAGAAAUGAAGCAAAUAAAAAAUCAAUUUUAAAAAAAAAAAAAUGAUGUCAACUUUGCCUUUUGAUCUUUCAAUGCUGUAUUAAUUGAAAUUUGAAGUUGGUAAUUUUAUAUGAGCAUCUAGAACUAAAUAAAAAACUACACCAUUGGUUUGGUGCUCGACUUCACAAAAAAAAAAUCAAUUAUAUUGUUUAAGAAAAAAUAAAAAUAAAAAGACCAAAAUUGAAACAUGAAAAUAAAAAUAAAAAUAGGAGACCUUAAAAAAACAAAUUGUGUCAACGCCUCCAUGCCUUGUAAUUUUGAUAAAUUUUCUUUGUGGCCCUUUUAGUUUAGAAAUGAAAUUUUUUUAUACAAAACUUUAUUUUACUUGUAUUUUAAUUCUUGAGAUUGAGAAAGAAAAGAGAAAUUCAUCUAAAAAUUACAAAGAAAAGAGAAAACUUGCGAAAGCCAGCAAGUUAUCUACUCAAAAAAACCAUUCAACAUAAGAUUGCUCUGCUAGGAAACUUUUGAACAAAUAGUACAGCAUCAAGUCUCAGUCAUCUGGAGAUUUGAAUGCCCAAAUAUAUUCACAUGCUCAUACAAUAACAUUUUUAAUAAUGCAUUAUGCAAUAGAAACAGAACAUCAAAUUGACAGAGAAAACAUGCUGAUGCAGAAAAUACUCAAGUCGUAGAAAGGAGAAUGCAUGAAAGUCCACACAUUAAACAUUAUGUCUUUUAUUUUUGAAGGUUCACACAAUUGAAAAGGAACACAAAUGGGCACGCAAACAUACGCCCUUACUUCUAGAGGCUUGUACGAUAAUGGGCAAGCAACAUUAUUUUUUUGAGGUUCGCACAGUAAUGACUAAAUACACAACAUUACAUUACUCCUGUGCUGUAAACAAUUCUUCUAACUUCUUCAGCAAACACAUAGAUAGAUAAGUCGAAAUCUUCUAAGGUAAAUAAUCGUCACAAUGUGAAGCUAAUUUGUAUCCCAUUGCCAAUGGAACAGUUGGAAUUAUUUCCCACCAAUCUAAAACAUAUUCGUAGCACCAACCUUGAAAUCAUGUAACAACUAACCACCAUUCAACAUGAGAUUGUUCUGCUAGGAAAAGAUGACAUCAAACUUUUGAACAAAUAGUACAGCAUCAAGUCCAAAUAUAUUCACAGCUCAAAGACAUGAGUCUCCAUCUUCUUUCCACCCGUUAUUUCUGGUCCACUCUCUAUUAAUGCUUGAAUCUUCAGCUACUUCAGAUACCUGUAAACCAAUUCAAGCAUGGCAUGCUCAUUUUAACUUGUAAAUCAUAUUAUUGAGCGAAACAAGAAACAAACACACUAAAAGAGAGGCAAGAAAUCAAGUCAAAUCAGCAGCACCUCUGAUUGAGCACUCAUUGAACCAUCUCGUGUAGUAGCAAAUUUUGUGCUCAGCUUUGGACAUUGAUGGACCUUCAACUUCCCCAAACGAGGGAAUAAGAAAUCACAGGAUCCAAAACUAAAACAGACAAUACUUGAUAAUUGUUCUAGCGACAGCUCCCACAGAUUAGGAAGCACCAUCUCCUUCUCAACGUUGACAGGUGAAGCAUGAUCUUCCUGCCCAAAUACUCCCAAUAAUUGAGAGGCUUCACUUACUUCUAGUGUUCGCAGCUUUGGGAGACCUGAAGCCAUGGCUACUGGGAAGAGACUCUUCAACUUGUUGCAUUCUCUAAUCUCAAUUUCACACAAAUUGGGGAAGCAUAAAGAUUGAAGAUGAUCUCCUAACAAUAUCUGGUCGUUUUCACAAAUUGGAAUUAUUUCCCUUUCACCAUCCUCUUCUCUGAUAAUAUGCUUCAAUUCACCGCAAUCUCUUAUCUCAAGUCUUUUUAGCUUUGGCAGACUCUGAGCGAGGGACGGUGUGAAGAUAAAUGUCAGUUUGUCGAGAGAAUACAACUUCAGAUUAAUAAGACUUUGAAGGUUGACAUGUCUUGUGGGCCCCUUCCAUAUGUAUUUGAGCUGGGGUAACUUUGACAGCUGUAACUCUGUUAAAGAUGACAGCAGCGGCAGCUCCUUCUCCUCAUCAGCCUCACCCAAUUCAAAAACCUCUUCCAAUGAUUUGCAGUCCUGAAUUUCAACACUCUUUAGAUUUUUUAGAGCUUGCAGCAAUUUUGUUGGAAACGGAGCGCAAACAUCCCCACAAUCGACCACGUGUACAGAUUCUAAUCUUUGUAAGAAGUCGUCUAGCUGUCCAUGGGCGGCCAUCUUAUCAGAGAACAAUAUUAUAUUUUUUCACUCAUAAAAACAAUUUAUAAGAUCUAUAAAUAGGAGAAAAACAUAGAAAAAGUAGGAUUAAAUACUUUUUAGAGAUUACAUAUUAUUGUUUUAGUUUUUUUCUUAAUUAGAGAUACGUUGAAUAAUAAUUAGAUUUUUGUGAAUAAAAGGUUAAUACAACUCCUAAUAAUUAGUUUCAUGUCAAAAAUAAUAAUAAAAAUACUAAUUAAUAUUUUUAUUUUAGUUAUAAACUUAAUAAAUUUUUAAAGAUAUUUUAAUUGACUUCAAAAUUUUCAACACAAAAUUUAUGCUCUUAUAUAUUAAUAAUUUUUUUGUGGUUUGAUGUACUUUUGUAUAAAAAUCAUUUUUUAUUUUGUGCAUAGUUCUUAUAUAAUAUAUGGAAGGGUUUCAUAAUUAAGUAAUGGCAUGAUUGUUCUUGAAUAUAUCAAGAUUCAUCAAAAAGGAUAUACAGGCAAGAUUAUCUUCAAGGAGUUGAAAGUUUUAUUAAUUUCAUAAUUUAUAAACUGAAUAAUAUUAAUGCAGAUGAAAUUAGAUGUUCAUAUGUAAAGUGUAAAAAUAAAAAGUUUCACUGCAAAGAUACGUCCAUUGUCAACUGCGGCCUUUUUUUUGUUUUACUUUUUUAACUUUCACCCUACUCCAUUAAAUGUUUUUAUUUAAAUAAUGAUCUAUUACAUUUUUGUUUUUUUAUUACUAUAUACUUUGAAAAGAUUAGUUUGUUUCGUAUCAAAAACAUUCUUAUAUAUUUAUAUGAGUAUGUUGUAUUAGUAUGAAGAUUUUUAUAAAAACCAAAAAUUAUUUUUUUAUUAGAAACAACAUUUGGCCACUAAGAUUAAAUGAAUGAAAAAAUUUAAAAUAAAAAAGAUUGUCGAUGUAAACCAUUUACAUGUAUAACGAGAUAAGUUUUUCGUUUUAAUAUUAAAUUAGUAUUAAUAACUCUCUUGCAUUUAUUAAUUCAUAUAUUUAGUAGUAUAUUUUAUAAAGUAUAAACUAUUCACUUCUUAAUUAAUAAAUUUAAAGUUUUACAUAGAUGAUAAAACUAGUUAAUUACCAAACACUUAAAGAAAUAGGGGAUUCAAUGUGCAAAUUGCACGGUGGAUCACAUCACAAAAUAUCAUGGAUUUAGUGUUCUUUUUUUUUUUUUUUUAUUGGCGACUAAAAUGGAGGCCAGUUUAGAUUACACUUUUAGGAAAAAGUAACAUUAAAAUAGAAACCAAACUGGAAAAAAAUAGUAAUAGGUGGCUUUUUCAAACUUAUGCAAGGGAAGUUCAAUUUAGAUAAUUUUUUUGCCUUUGAAUUUCCUAAUAAACUAGAUCUAAGCUUGAGAAUAUUUUUGGUUUUAGUGUUUUGUGCAGUUUUUAAGGUCAUUGAUAGGUUUAUCAAAGUGCUUUGGGUGUUUUCAAUAUGUUUUAACUAAAAAAUAGGUUUUUAUAUAAAAAAAACAAUCAACCCUGAUUUUCCAACUACUAUAGUGGUUAAAAUAUGAGGAAAUGAAAAUGAUGCAUCAUCUAAUUUUAUUUUUUUAAAUGAGUCGUACAACGCUUCCAUUAGCAAUUAAAAAAGUCGUACAACGCUUCCAUUAGCAAUUAAAAAAGAGAGCUAACACACGAGUCCUUUCCAAAUGGGCCAUACAUGUUAUAUCUUGGCUUGCCAGACCUAGCAUUGUCUAACCAUUUUUUUUAAUUAAUAUUUUUUUUAUGUAUUUUUAAAAAUAUUUUUUUUUAUUUAGCCUUUUUUAAAUAGAGAUUAUUUUUAAUUAUUUGAUAUAUAUAUUUAAUUUUUAAAAGAUUAUUAUAAUUCAUCUAUAAAUUUUAUUUUUAUGUUCUAUAUAAAUAAACUUUAUUUUUAAAAAUAAAAAAUAUUUAUGUUUAGAUAAUUUUUUUAAUAUGUUCUAUAUAAAUGAACCCUUCCAUAAUUAGUUCCAUGUCUAAUUUUUAUCGAGAUAAAUUACCUCCAAAGUAGUCAAUUUGCUCAGCACGACACCCUUCCAUAUACACCUCAUGUCAGGCAAAGACUUCAAGCAUAAUGCUUUCAAAUUUGUCAACCCCUGCAUCAAAAGAAAUUUUGUGCACUAUUGAACUAUAUAAUUUUGGUAAGUAGAUGAACGAAUUGUCCAUAUAAAACUUCAGCAAAAAAACUUAUCAAUUAAAGGAUAGAAGUAGACAUGGCAACAAGGCAUGGGAAUAUGAAAUCAUAAGCUGCAGGACUGAAACAAACAACUCAAUAUUAGCAGAUGAAGGUUUAUCUUCCUCUUUAAAUACUUUCAUUAAUUGGGGGAAGAGCCUCAAUUUCACUCAAACUGGGAAAGCAUAAAUUACGAUUGAAAAAUCUGGAUGUCAUUUCAUUACAAUAAUUAAUUUCUUACUUCUUAAGCCCUGCAUCAAGAGACAAGGAAUGAUACAGUUAGACUACUCCUUUUAAAUUUAGUGGAUGGCUAAAGGAUUUAUCACCACUUAUCAAUUACUUCAGUUUCAGAAAUUUGGAGGAAAAAAUUUAUUGGAGAAAUAUAAAGGACGUACUUGGAGCUGUGCAGACAAAUUUCCCAAUUCUUUGUGGCCAUUGAUUUUUAGAUAUUGCAAAGAAGGCAAUUGGGCAGCAAAAUUCUUUGGACCAAAAAAGCUGCCAUUUGAAAGAGACAAUUCUCUUAGCCGAGGGAAUUUGAUGAUGCCAUCUGUGGGGAGUGCAUCUCCUUCUCCACUGUAAAAUAUUUGCUUUAAACUGUCAGCACGAUCAAUCGUUAUCUCUUCCAGGUUCGGAAGGCUCGGAGAUAUAGAGACGGGGAAGACAUAUUCAAGUUUAUAACAUCCAGAUAUGUCGAUAGUGUUUAAUUGUGGGAAGCAAGGAGACUCUGGAAUUAUUUCCCCUUCACCAUAUUCUUCUCUGAUAAUAUGCUUCAAUUCACCGCAAUCUCUUAUCUCAAGUCUUUCUAGCUUUGGCAGACUCUGAGCGAGGGACGUUGUGAAGAUAAAUGUCAGUUUGUCGAGAGAACGCAAUUUCAGAACAACAAGACUUUGGAGGCUGACAUGUCCGGUGGGCCCCUUCCAUAUGCAUUUGAGCUGGGGUAACUUUGACAGCUGUAACCUCGUUAAAGAUGACAGCAGCGGCAGCUCAUUCUCCUCACUGCUUCCUUCAUCAGCCUCACCCAAUUCAAAUACCUCUUCCAAUGAUUUGCAGCUGGCAACAAUCAACUCCUUUAAAGUUUUCAUUGAUUUGCAGAAAUUUUGCUGUAACAUCCCCACAUUCGUUCACUCGUACACAUUCUAAUCUUUGUAAGAGCCAUUUUGCUCCCCAUGGCGGCCAUCUUAUCAGAGAACAAUAUUAUAUUUUUUCACUCUCAUAAAAACAAUUUAUGUGAUGUAUAAAUAGGAGAAAAAAACAGGAUUAAAUACUUUUUAGAGAUUACAUAUUAUUGUUUUAGUUUUUUUCUUAAUUAGAGAUAAGUUGAAUAAUAAUUAUAUUUUUGUGAAUAAAAGGUUAAUACAACUCCUAAUAAUUAGUUUCAUGUCAAAAAUAAAAAUAAAAAUACUAACUAAGAUUUUUAUUUUAGUUAUAAAGUUAAUAAAUUUUUAAAGAUAUUUUAAUUGAUUACAAAAUUUAUGCUCUUAUAUAUUUAUAAUUUUUUUGUGAAGUUAUUUGAUGUACUUUUGUAUAAAAAUCAUUUUUUUUUAAUUAUGUGCAUAGUUGCUCUUAUAUAUUACAUGGAAGGGUUUCGUAAUUAAGUAAUGGUAUGAUUGUUGUUGAAUAUAUCAGGAUUCAUCAAAAGGGAUAUACAGACAAGAUUAUCUUCAAGGAGUGGAAAGUUUCAUUAAUUUUAUAAUUUAUAAACUGAAUAAUAUUAGUGCAGAUGAAAGUAGAUAUUCAUAUAUAAAGUGUAAAAAUAAAAAGUUUCACCGAAAAGAUAUGUCCACUGUCAACUUAAGCCUUUUUUUUGUUUUACUUUUUUAACUUUUACCUAUUCCAUUAAAUUUUUUAUUUAAAUAAUGAUCUUUUACAUUUUUGUUUUUAUUAUUAUAUACUUUGAAAGAUUAGUUUUAUUGUAUCAAAAACAUUCUUAUAUUUUAUAUGAAUAAGUUGUAUUAGUAUGAAGAUUUUUAUAAAAACCAAAAAUUAUUUUUUUAUUAGUAACAUUUGGCCACUAAGAUUAAAUGAAUGAAAAAUUUUAAAAUAAAAGGGAUUGUCAAUGUAAACCAUUUGCAUGUGAAAUUAUUUAUUUCUACCGAGAUAAGUUUUUUGUUUUAAUAUUAAAUUAGUAUUAAUAACUCUUUUGCAUUUAUUACUUCAUAUAUUUAUUAGUAUAUUUUAUAAAGUAUAAACUAUUCACUUCUCAAUUAAUAAAAUUAAUGAUAAAUAAAAACAUAUCUAUAACAUAAUUGUUAUUUUUUUCAUGUUAGAAAUUGACUUAAAUCCUACUCUCAUCAUAUAUAACAUUUUUUGUGUAAACAAUAUAUUUUUGUAUAUAAAUUAAAAAAAUCAUGACAUUUUAAAAUGCAUUCAAAAUAAUAAUAUUUUUUUUUAUUAUAUUUGAAAUUAAUUUAAAGUUUUACAUAGAUGAUAAAACUAGUUAAUUAACAAACAUUUAAAGAAGUAGGGGAUUCAAUGUGCAAAUUGCACCAUGGAUCCCAUCACAAAAUAUCAUGGAUUUAGUGUUUAUUUUUUUUUUGUGUUUUUUUUAUUAUUUCUUUUUUAUUGGGGACUAAAAUGUAGGCCAGUUUACCUUUAAUUUUUUUUUAUUUGUUUUAAUUAAAAAUUUUCUAUGUAUUUUUAAAAUUAUUUUUUUUAUUUAUUUAGUCUUUUUUAAAUAGAGAUUAUUUUUAAUUAUUUGAUAUAUAUUUAAUUUUUAAAAAAUUAUUAUAAUUCAUCUAUAAAUUUUAUUUUUAUGUUCUGUAUAAAUGAAUUUUAUUUUUAAAAAUAAAAAAUAUUUAUGUAUAGAUAAAUUUUUUAACAUGUUCUAUAUAAAUGAACCCUUCCAUAAUUAGUUCCAUGUCUAAUUUUUAUCCAGAUAGAUUACCUCCAAAGUAGUCAAUUUGCUCAGCACGAGACCCUUCCAAAUACACCUCAUGUCAGGCAGAGACUUCAAGCUUAAUGUUUCCAAAUUUGUCAACCCCUGCAUCAAAAUAAAUUUUGUGCACUUUUGAACUAUAUAAUUUUGGUAAAUAGAUGAACGAAUUGUCCAUAUAAAACUUCAGCAAAAAAACUUAUCAACAAAAGGAUAGAAGUAGACAUGGCAACAAGGCAUGGGAAUAUGAAAUCAUAAGCUGCAGGACUGAAACAAACAACUCAAUAUUAGCAGAUGAAGGUUUAUCUUCCUCUUUAAAUACUUUCAUUAAUUGGGGGAAGAGCCUCAAUUUCACUCAAACUGGGAAAGCAUAAAGAUUGAAAAAUCUGGAUAUUAUUUCAUUACAAUAACUAAUUUCUUACUUCUUAAGCCCUGCAUCAAGAGACAAGGAAUGAUACAGUUAAACAACUCCUUUUAAAUUUAGUGAUGGCUAAAGGAUUUAUCUCCACUUAUCAAUUACUUCAGUUUCAUAAAUUUAAAGGAAGAAAUCAACAUGUAUUGAAGUUGAUAAUUUACAUUAAAAAAGAAAGAAAUUAUUAGAGAAAUAUAAAGGACGUACUUGGAGCUGUGCAAACAAAUUACCCAAUCCUUCGUGGCCAUAAAUGGUUAGACUUUUCAAAGAAGGCAAUUGGGCAGCAAAAUUCUUUGGACCAAAAAAGCUGCAAUUUGAAAGAGACAAUUUUCUUAGUCGAGGGAACUUGAUGAUGCCAUCUCUGGUGAGUGCAUCUCCUUCUCCACUGUAAAAUAUUUGCUUUAAAUUGUCAGCACCAUCAAUCGUUAUCCCUUCCAGGUUUGAAAGGCUCGGAGACACAGAGACAGUGAAGACAUAUUCCAGUUUAUCACAUCCAGAUAUGUUGAUAGCUUUUAAUUUUGGGAAGCGAGGAGACUCUGGAAUUAUUUCCCUUUCACCAUCCUCUUCUCUGAUAAUAUGCUUCAAUUCACCGCAAUAACUUAUGUGAAGGCUUUCUAGCUUUGGCAGACUUCGAGCAAGUGACGCUGUGAAGAUAAAUGUCAGUUUGUCAAGAAACCACAAAUCCAGACGAGCAAGAUUUGGCAGACUUCGAACGAGGGACGGUGUGAAAAUAAAUGUCAGUUUGUCGAGAGAAGUCAAAUACAGAUGAACAAGACUUUGGAGGCUGACAUUCCUGGUGGGCCCCUUCCAUAUGCAUUUGAGCUCAGGUAAGUAUGACAGAUGUAAAGUUGUUAAAGAUGACAGCAGCGGCAUCUCCUUCUCCUCACUGCUUCCUUCAUCAGCCUCACCCAAUUCAAAUACCUCUUCCAAUGAUUUGCAGUCCUCAAUUUUCACACUUUGGAGGCUGACAUGUCUGGUGGGCCCCUUCCAUAUGCAUUUGAGCUCAGGUAACCUUCGCAGCUCUAACUUUGUUAAAAAUGACAGUAACUCCUUCUCCUCACUGCUUCCUUCAUCAGCCUCACCCAAUUCAAAUACCUCUUCCAAUGAUUUGCAGUCCUCAAUUUUCACACUUUGGAGGCUGACAUGUCUGGUGGGCCCCUUCCAUAUGCAUUUGAGCUCAGGUAACCUUCGCAGCUCUAACUUUGUUAAAAAUGACAGUAACUCCUUCUCCUCACUGCUUCCUUCAUCAGCCUCACCCAAUUCAAAUACCUCUUCCAAUGAUUUGCAGUCCUCAAUUUUCACACUGUCUAGAUUUUUCAUAGCUCGCAGCAAUUUUGCUGGAAACGGAGCGCGGACAUCCCCACAAUCGUCCAAAUGUACAUAUUUUAAUCUUUGUAAGAAGCCGUUUUGCUGCCCAUGAAAACAAAACAGGAAUUAUAUUUUUUCACUCUCAUGAAAACAAUUUAUAUGAUGUAUAAAGAGGAGAAAAAAAAUAGAAAAAACAGGAUUAAAUACUUUUUAGAGAUUACAUAUUAUUGUUUUAGUUUUUUUCUUAAUCAGAGAUAAGUUGAAUAAUAAUUAGAUUUUUGUGAAAAAAGGUUAAUACAACUCCUAAUAAUUAGCUUCAUGUAAAAAAUAAAAAUAAAAAUAGUAACUAAUAUUUUUAUUUUAGUUAUAAAGUUAAUAAAUUUUUAAAGAUAUUUUAACUGAAUUUAAUAUUUGAUAUUAAAUCUAACAGAUAAUAUAAAUUACGUAAACCAUGAGGCAGUUAAGUUUCUUAUAUUUAUAUAUGUUUAGAUAACGCAAACAACAAUGAGGUAGUUAAGUUUCUUAUAUUUAUAUAUGUUUAGAUAAAAAAAUCAUAAAAAAAAAAUAAGCUAUGUUUGUUUAAAUAAUUAAAAAAAAUCGAACUUGGAUUUCCUAGCAUUUAUCAAUUGACAAUUUAAAUUAGUGGAGAAAUACAAAUUACAUACUUGUUCUUAUAUUCAGUUACCCACUUCUUCGUGGCCUUCAAUGGUUAAUUUUAAGGAUAUUUUAAUUGAAUUAAAGAUUUCAACAGACAAUUUAUGUUCUUAUAUAUGUUUAGAUAAAAAAAUCAUAAAAAAUAAAAAUAAGUGGAGGAAGAAAGAAUAAAUUAUCGCAAUUGACAAUUUAAAGUAGUGGAGAAAUAUAAAUUACGUACUUGUAACUGUGUCAACCAAUUACCCACUUCUUCGUGGCCUUUAAUGGUUAAUCUUUGCAAAGGCAAUUGAGCAUCAAAAUUCCUUGGACCUAAAAAGCUGUAAUUUGAUCUGAGCUCAAGAGACAAUUCUAUUAGUUGAGGGAACUUGAUGAUGCCAUCUCUGUUAUGAGACAAAGAGACUGGGAAGACAUAUUCCAGUUUAUCACAGAAAGAUAUGUCGAUAGUUUUUAAUUGUGGAAAGCAAGGAGACUCUGGAAUUAUUUCCCUUUCACCCUCCUCUUCUCUGAUAAUAUGCUUCAAUUCACCGCAAUCUCUUAUGGAAAGUCUUUCUAGCUUUGGCAGACUCUGAGCGAGGGACGUUGUGAAGAUAAAUGUCAGUUUGUCAAGAGAAUCCAAUUUCAGAACAACAAGACUUUUGAGGCUGACAUGUCUGGUGGGCCCCUUCCAUAUGCAUUUGAGCUCGGGUAACUUUGACAGCUGUAACUCCGUUAAAGAUGACAGCAGCUCCUUCUCCUCACUGCUUCCUUCAUCGCACUCACCUAAUUCAAAUAACUCUUCCAAUGACUUACAGCUGUCAACAAUCACCUCCUUCAGAUUUUUUAAACCUUGCCGCAAUCUUGCUGGAAACAGAGUGAAAACAUCCCCACAAUCCCUCACUUUUACAAAUUCUAAUUUAUGUAAGAACAAUUGCUCAAAUGUCUUCGCAUUGAAGGAUGUACCAACCAAACUAAAUCUUGUCGAGGAUGGGUCGAUUCCUGCAUCAUACCAAUUCCCUAAUAUUAUAUGAUAUUUGCGCAAGCUAACUGGAAAAACAAAAUCUCUGGGAAUGCAUUCAACCUUCGGUAUCCUCAAUGAUAAUACGGCUAACUGAGACAACGAAUUUAGUUCUGUUAGGCUUGCAUUCAUUCCUCCUGUGCUGUCCCAUCCAACAACAUCCCAUCCCUGAAAGCUGUAUUGCCCGAUCAACAGCUCUUCUAACUUCUUCAACCUUCCAAUCAAAUUCACAGGGAUCCUUCUUAGCCUGCGACAACCUGUCACAUCCAACAACCUUAACUCCUUGAGCUCUCCUAUUUCAUCAGGUAAUUCUUCGAUGAAUAAGCACCAUAUAAGACCAAGAAUCUUAAGUCUCUGCAGCUUUCUCAACCAAAUGAGGUCCUUGCAUUGGCACUCGAUCAACACCAACAAUUGAAGUUUCGUUGAGAGUUCAAGUGAUUGCAAUGACAAACGCCCUCCCUUCAGAGACAAAACUUCAAUUUCUUUCAUCCCUUCAAAAAACCUCUGAGGAACAUUCAAACCAUAAUCCAGUUCUAAUAAUAGAACUUUGAGCUGUGGACAUACCAAUCCUUCAGGAAGUUCUGCUAGUUUAUUGCCCAUUAACGAAAUUGUUGUACACGCUUCAAAGCUUUUGAUAUUCAUUGGCCAUUCCUUCAACCCAAUGCCAGCCUUUACCAUGAAUCCAUAUUCUUUUGAUGACGCUAUCCGAAUAGCAACAUCACGAACCAAGUCAUGCAUUUUCACAUGUUCAUCAUUUCCAGUGUCCAACAGCAUGCAACAAUCUUUGAGUUUUUUUAUUUCCACACAAACUCGUUUUUUUGCAUCUCCAAUGGACUCCACAUCUUGAUGUAACUUAUACCCAACUGCGUAUCUCCUCAAGUCCUCGAUUGGAAUGUUGUAAUCUUCUGGAAAUAAACAACAUAUCAAGAAACAUAACUUGGUUGCAUCUCUAUUCAAAUAAUCAUAGCUCAACUUGAGACAUGCAUAUGCAGUUCUUCGUUCAUCAAUGUGUUCCAUGUCCGGAAAUUGAGAGUUUUUUAGCUCUAUUAAUGCUACGUCCCACUCAUCUUUAGAUUUACCUCUUAGAGCCCUUCCCACUGUCACAAGUGCUAUAGGCAAGCCUUGGCAUUCUCUCGCAACCUUCCUUGCCACUGUGUUCAAGGUAGAGUCCCCAUCACGUAAACCUGCAUUGGUUCUGAAUAAAACCAGUGCUUCAUCUUCAGUUAAGACUCUUAAAAGCACUGUUUGCUGGCACUCCAUAGAAGAACAUAUGUCUUGAAGACGUGUUGUUAGAAGAAUUUUACAACCCCUGUGAUCAUCACCAAAUGGGAUCCCUAUCUCUUUCAAGUCAAUAAGUUUCCAAACAUCAUCUAGGAUUAUAAGCAUCUUCUUUCCCUGCAGUCUCUGCCAUAAUUCACUUGCUCUACCGUCUUCCCUCGCUUUUUCAAAUUUCAGAUGUAAACUAUCUGCCAGUUGAUCCUGGAUGCCCAUGACAGUUGGAUUCUGGGACACCGUAGCCAUCAAAACUUCAGGAAAAAGCGGCAACUCUUUGGCUAUCCUGGCUACUUCUUUCACCAGGGUGGUUUUACCCACCCCUCCCAUGCCGCGCAGUCCGAUCAUAUUGACUUUGUCAUCUUUGAGAGCUUCCAUAAUCUGUUCGAGAGCUUCUUCUGACGAUUUUGAGGGCGUGAAUUCCUUUGAUGGGAGAAAAUACAUGGGCUGAGGAGGAGCUUUUUGGGCCAGUGUUUUAAACUUUUCGCUACGUUCUACAAGUUUUCUGAAAGUCUCCGACUUCUUGGCCAGUGCCUUGCUUAACUUGAAUUGUCGCAUGCAGUUCGGGCACCAAUUGAAGCAUUUGCCAUUUUUUCCUAUUUCAAUUUCCAAGGGCUUCGCACCUUCAAUUUCGUUGUUUGCAUCUUCCAGCCACUUUUUGACAUCUUUGUAAAUUUCUUCAGCAUUCCUUUCAGCAGCUUUGACAUCAUCUUGCAGACGUCCUUUUGCCGAAUCCAGGUUCUGCUUUCGUUCAUUGAAUUCUUCAACAAAAUGGUUGAAACAGAACAUGUAACGGAACUGCCUUCCUACUGGUUCCACCAUGAGUUCUGCUAUCUUAGAUAUAAUGGCUCCAACCACACUUUCAAGAGCCAUUUUCCACAGGUCUGAAAAUCAAAGAAAUAAGGAUACAGAACGUGAGAGUGAGUCACUACAAGUAAAACAGGCGCAGAGAGAAUGGGAAUAAGAAUUUCAUUACCUUAAUUUGCGAAAAGCACUGGUACUGAUAACUCAAUGAAAUAGCGGGAGGAAGAAAAGGAGAAGGCCUUUAGCUCUGUAUGGAAUCCAGCUUCAAAAGCAACAAGGCAAGGUAUAAGGAUUCUAACUGACACUUGUGAGUUAAAGCAGUAAUUCCCAUUAAAAAUGCAUUUUGAUGACAUAAUUAAGAUCAUUUGGAGACAAUGACCAAAAAAAAAAAAGGUAUAAAAGGACUCACCUAGCAAAGAAAGAAGCGAAUGAAAGGUUCAGGAUAAUCACUUAGCUCGCUUCCAACAACAAAUAUAAUUAAUUAAUCUAAGCUAUGAUCGGUCAAAGGUUUUUUUAGUUUUAUUCUUGUUUUUUUUUAAAAAAACAGAUCAAUAAAUAAAAAGACUUGCAAAGAAAUAGAAUUACUGGAAUGAACACAAUAAAAAAUGAAACUCAAGCAAUUAAAAAUAAAUUAUCUAUGAUGAUCAUCUCUGUGUUACACUCACUGAGGUAAUAUAAUUGGCCUAUCACAAUAUUUAAAAAAAGAAAGAAAAAAAAACCUAAAAGAACUAGGUUUUUGGUGGCAUCCAGAGUGCGGUUACUUUCUUCAUCCUUCUUUUGUGGUUUUAUUUUAUUUCAGUCCUUCAAAUCUUUUUCUUUUGCUAUUUCAUCGAGUUGCUUUGCUCUUGAGUUGAUGUGCUUGCCCUAGAAUAUGCAUUAUGCUAGGGAUUACAAUUACAUUACAUAAGAAAUUAUACUUACAGAUUAUAAUUAAAAAUUUCAUUUAAAAAAAAAAACAAAUUUAUGAGAAAGUACCAAUAUUACAAGUAACCAAUAGAUUAUCGCCACUUGUUCAACCUGAUCUGCACAUUAAGAUAGGGGUAGUCGACGGAAAAUAAUUUUUUAAAAAAUAUUUUAUAUUUUUUUAUAUUUAUUUGUUAUUAAAAAAAUUAAUCAAUAAAAGAUAUUUUUUAAUAAAAAAAAAUUAGUUUCAUUUUCAAAAAAGUAUUUUUCUUUUAUUUUAGAUGAAAAAUACUUUAAAUUUAAAAAUAUCAUAUUAUUUGUUGAUUAUAACAAAUUGGAUCCUCAAACUUUUAAUUGGUAUAUAUUUUGUUUUGAAUUUUUUUGUUUUCAAUUUUACUUCUUAGAAUUUGAUUUUAUAUUAAAUUUAGAUCUUAUUUUUAUGAUUGUUAUUUGCUUUUCUCUUUUUUAUUUUUUUAAUUAAAAUUUUUUAUUUAUCAAAUUUUAUCAUCAUUUUUUUAUUGUUAUUUAUUCUAUUUGAAAUAAUUUAUGAAAUUGUAAUUAUUAUUAUUUUAAUUUUUUAAUUUUUAGAUUUGAAUUUAUUAUUUUGAUUGUUAUUUAUUUUAUUUGAGAUAAUUUAUGAAAUUAGAUUUUUUUAAAAAAAAAAUUUCAUUUAACUUUUUAAUUUAAUAAAAAAUAUUUUUUACAUGAUACUAUAAAAUACCAAAAAAUUAUAUUACUUUCCGAAAAAGCUAUUUAAAAAAAAAUUACAUCAAUCAAACAAACAGUAACUUAGAUUCUACUGUGACAUAGAGAUAAAGGUAAUUUCAAAAGCUAAUAGAUGGUCGCCACGUGUUCAACUUUAUCUACCCACUAGGAAAGGAUAGAAAGUGGGAGAGAAAGGUAAAAGGCUUAUAAAAAAAAAGAGGAAAGGCACGGUUGAGAUAAGUAGAGGGAGAGGUUGUUGGAGGCAGAAAAGGAAAGACUACGAAAGUAUUUUUCUCUAUAUUUUGAGUUUUAGUUGUUAAUAGCCAUGCUCUUGCAAAUAAGGCAGGAAAGGAGGACCUGAAAUCACGGCAGCGAAUAAGGAGAGAAACAGCGUGUUUGUUUUUUAUUUUUUAAAUUAUUUUUUUUAUAAAAUUAUUUUUUGUAUUUUUAUAUUGAUAUUAAAAUAAAAAAAAAAUUUAUUUUAAUAUAUUUUUAAAAUAAAAAAUAUUUUAAAAGAAAACUACCUAUUCAAACACUUAAAAUAAAAACCUUAAAAUCACGGCAUGAUAAAAGGAGCAAGAAAGGAAAGGGACAAAGAAGGAAGAAAAUAAGGUCACGUAGAGGGCUAGUCUUGUAUAAAAUAGAAGAUGAAAAUUAGAAUGAAAAAGAGGCUAUUUGUUUUUUUACUGUGUCAAGAGUGGUUUUUAUAAUUAUAUUUAAUUUAUAAAAAUAUUAAAUUAAUAUAUUUUUAAAUAUUUCUUGUUAUUAUAUAUAUAUAAUAUUCUAACAUGUUUUUAAAUAAAAAAUUAUUUAAAAAAAAUAUGCUCACAAUACUAAAUUAUAGUAAAUUAAAAGAUAAAAGAUUUUUCUGUUUAUUACUAUUUACAGAGACUUAUUUUAUUGUGGAUGUGGAUAUUAAUAGUGAAUUUUUUUAAAAAAUAUAAUUUGGUAUUUGAAUUGUUUUUUUUUUUUCAUAAUUGAAUCUCUUUAUGCCCAAAUUAAAACUCAAUUGCAUUUUGUUUUUUAAGGAUAAGAGUUGAAUUCAAAGAUAGAUGACUGAAAUGAAAAAACUCGGCAAAAAUAUACGUAAUUGUUUGCAAGGUUUAUUUUAAUUCCUAAUCCUUUUAAACAUGUCCCUAUAAUUUCUCAACAUUACAUUUUAUCCGGAAUCUAGGAUUAUGCUAUAGAGACUAAACUGAAACUUUCAAAAAUUAAGAGGUUAAACUGAAAUUUCAUCAUCUUCAAUUUCAAACCUAUAAUUUUCACCUUAAAUUCACCAUUUAAACAAACGGUAACUCAAAAUUAUUAUUUUUACUUAAAAUCUUUCAAAAUCAACUAAAUAACUCAUUAUCCAUAACAAUCAACACAUAAUAUUCAAAUUAACUUAUCAAUCAAACCCAAAACACAAUCUUCAAAACCCUAAUAUUCAACAAAAUAGAAAAUUAAAGCUAAGAAAAACACAUUUAUACACAUCAAAGCGUAACUAUUCUUACAUUUUAAUUUAUUUUCUCUAACUCUCUUAUCCUUUAUCUUUUCCUCUUUAUCUUUUCCUCUUUUCUCUUUUUCUUCUUUUGCUCUCACGGUUCUCUCUAAGAAUUCAGAUCUCUCUCUCUAUUUUUAUAUUUAUGAACUCUUUAUACAAUUACUACAAUACCGUUCAUUCAUUUAUACCUACUUCUAAGCCUCCAGAGUUUUGUUGUCCUUUUCUAUUUUUUUCUAUUUUCAAAUCAUCACAAUAAAAUUGUUUUCUUUUUAUUAAGCUGCUAAUUUAUUUAGCUUUAACUCUUGUUCUCUUUUUCAUGUUUAGCAACUCUGAUCUGAUCCUUUUCUUUACAUGAUAUAAGGGCAGGUUCUUACCUCUUGAAGUCCGCUGGAUAAACCUAUAAGCAGAAGAUCCUGAAGCGAUCCCAAAUCACAGCUUCAAUCCCCAACACAACCAAUCUCCUCUUUCCCGUAGUCUGUCGUCCUCAAUUGGGAAAUGAUCUAAAAAAAUCACUUGAUGCAACAAGUAGGGUAGAGAAAUAUAAGACUUCAACAAAGAAUCAAACUCAAAAAAAUUAAAGUAAUUGUCUAUGAGAAGCAUUUCUGUGUCACACACUCAAGUAAUAUGAUUGACCUAUUACAUUAUACAAAUUAAUAAUAAUAAUAAUAAAAGAACUAGGUUUUUGAUGGCAUCCAGAGUGCUGUUACUUUCAAACAAAGAGGCUUGUGCAUGCGGUGUUACGCUGUUCAUGUAUUCUUUUUAUUAAGCUGCUAAUUUAUGCAGCUUUAAUUCAUGUUCUCUCUUCUUGUAUUGCAACUCUGAACUGUUCCUUUUCUUUGCAUGAUAUAAGAGCAGGUUCUUACCUCUUGAAGUCUGCUUCAAUCCCCGUAGUCUUCCGUCCUCAAUUGGGAAAUGAUCCAAAAUCAACAACUAGUCCGGAGAUAGUUUGAGUGAAAAGAAACGGCUGAGAAAUGAAAUGUGAAGGUUAUGUUGAGAAAUUAGAUGACAAACUUACUUUGUCCUACUAAUGCUUUUGCUUUCAUUGUUUCAAAAAGUAAAAGAGAUAUAAGCAUAAUCAUAAGAAUCCUGUUUUUUCUAUUUUUUUUCUCCUAUUUAUACAUCAAAAAAUGGCAGCUUUUCUUUUCCUUUCUUUUUAAAAUCUUAUACCUUGGGUGAGGCAAUUAGUGGAGCAUUAGACUUUUGAAAAGACAACAAAAAGAAGCAAUGACUCAUCUUUUGAUAUGGUGGUACAAGAUACACCAUGGUAUGGUGGUCUUGCAAGAAAUGUCUUAGCUUUUGAUAUGGUGGUCUUCCAUGAUCAGUUUUCGAAAGAUUCGAGUCUCCGUUCUAGUUCAGGCCGAAAGCUAAGAUUCUUUUAUUAGUGGUUGGUGUGGAUGAGAAUUGCAAGAAUGGACUCAAAGGCUCAGCUAAUCGUACUGUUACUGUAAACUACUAGGAAAUUCAAGGAGAGUUAACAAUAGCAUCGAUUCGAUCAAGUGAGGGGCUUCGGUGUCUAGAGAGGACCUUGCUGUUAAGGAAAUAACCCUAGAAAUUAUGGAGCCCACUAUUUAUUAAUCCAUUUCUAUUUACUACUUAUUACUAUUUAUUUAAUUUUAUUAAUUUACUAUAUUUUUGUUUGUGUACCAAUAAAAUUUGAGAUUCCUUUAAUUUUUUAGGUGCAUGGUCUAGUCUAUUGGCUGCAUGUACAAAAUCAAUUCAAGGGUGUGUAUCCUUAACUAUCAGGCUAACCUUUACAGGCUUAGCUAGCAAUCGAUAAUUAAUUUUUAAUGAAUUCAAUUUUUAUUUAAAAUAAGGAAAAAGACAUUGGUGAAUAAAUAGUUUCCUUCCUAUUAUAAUUGUUAGACCUUACCAAAGGGCUAAUUUAGAAAAAGACUAUAACUUAUAGGUCUAACAAUUAAAGAAAAAAGUUUAUUUAGACCUUCCUAUUAUUGGUCAACUUGUGAUUAAGUAGAUCAAUUUAAAUUAAUUAUUUUUAUUAAAAUGAUAAUGUUUUGUUUUUUCUUCUGAUAUUAAUUUGGCUAAUUUUUAUCAAAUCAAUAUUUUAUGUUCAAUCUAGCAUACAGGUUUAACAAAUAUGCUUCGCACUUGCAGCUGUGGUUUGCUGCGGGCAUUUGAUAAUUGGGAGAGGCUUUAGUUUCGUACCUGUUGAUCUGCUUCAUAUAUACUUGGACGGUUGGACCUCUUAUUUUAUUUUAUAUUGGUUGGAUCACACAAAAUUAACAUAUUUAUUAUUUAUUUAAGAUAAAUGAUAUGGCUUUAAUAUAUUAGCGUACACUUAAUAUGAUUAAAUUUAAUUUUAAUUAAUUAACAUCUCACCGUAAUAAAUUUACCAUUUGCAACCAAAAAACAGUCGACACCUUAUUAAUAUAAUCAAUAUAAUAGAAAAUUAUAGUGAUUUAAAACAAUUCAUUAAAAUGUUUGUAAAUGUUUUCAUUUUGUGACCUCGGUUCUUGUGUUAUCUUUUAUGUAUUGUUACUGUCGUACAUGGACACGUUAUAUGAGGGUCAUUUGGAGUCGUUAUCUAGUUGUUUAGUUCAAGGUCAUUAAAAAACCUAGAUAUACUAGUUCUAUUAGAGAUUUGAGAGUAAAGGACUAGUUAUGGUUAAAAAAGGUAUUAACAUUCCUAACACACUCUACCCAGAUAAGUUACUCAAAUUUAAGAGUAAGUUACUCUACCCAGGUAUUAACAUUUUUUCAAGGAUGAGGGUUGAAUUGAAAGACAUAGGACUGAAGUGAAAAACUCAACUAAAAUAAUUUGUGGCUUUGCAAUUUGAUUGCAAAGUUCAUUUUAGUCCCUAUAAUUUUUUAUCAUUGUAUUUUGAUACCAAACUUUAUUUUCCUCUGUUUUUAGUUUUUUUGUAGGAGAGAGAGGAUCACCAUAUUUCGUUUUAGAGAGAGAAAGUUGUUGUUGGGGAUUUCGGCCACCAAUUUUCUAAGUGGUUUCGGUUAAAAUGGGCUGAAAACAGGUUGUGGGUUACAACUAGGUUUUUUACCAAAUUAGUCAAAGUUUUUUUUUUUUUUAAAAAAAAAAUUCAACAAGAGAAAAGACUUGUAAAAAAAUAGAAUUACUGAAAGAAACUCAACAAAAAAUCAGACUCAAAGGAAUUAAAAAUAAUUUUCUAUGAUAACCAUCUCUGUAUCACACAUUCAGGUAAAUAUGAUUGACAAUUAUAAAGCCCUGCAAACAAUUAAAUUAUGCUUCAAAAGCAACAAGACAAGGUAUAAAGUAUACCAACAAAAAUAUUUUACUAACUGACACUUGUGAGUUAAAGCAGUAAUUCCCAUUAAAAAUGCAUUUUGAUGACAUAAUUAAGAUAAUAUAUAGACAGUGACAAAAUAAAAUAAUAAUAAAAAAUGUGUAAAUGAAACGAAAGAAAGGUUCAGAUAAUCACUUGGACGUGUAAAAUUACUCAAUUGGCAAAAAGAAACGAAUGAAAGGUUCGGGUAAUCACUUUUAGACUUCUCCACGGAUGAUACUAGCUCGCUUCCACCAACAAAUAUAAUUAACCUAAGCUAUGAUAGGUCAAAGUUCUUUUUAGUUUUCUUCUUAUUUUUUUUUUUUUAAAAAAACAGAUCAACAAGAGAAAAGACUUGCAAAAAAGUAGAAUUACGACACUAAAAAAAGAAUCAAACUGAAGCAAUUAAAAAUAAUAGAAUAUGAUGACCAUCUCUUAUCACACAUUCAGGUAAUAUGAUUGACCUAUAACAAUAUUAAAAAAACAAAAAUAAAACGCUAAUAGAUGGUCGCCACGUGUUCAACUUUAUCUACCUUAAGGAAAGGAUAGAGUGGGAGAGAGAGAGGUUAAAAGGCUUAUAAAAAGAAAAGACCAGGAAAGACAGAAAUAAAAGAAAGGUUGAGAUAAGAGAGGGACGUGGAAAUAGAAGGAGAGGCUGAGGGAGGCAAAACGGAAGAAGACAUUGAAAGAUCGGAGGAGAGUAGGGAAAACAAUAUGAAUAUGUGAUGCUCGUUUAUCUAUUUGAUUGGGAUUUUUUUGUGUCUCUUUUAUUUGGAAUUUCUUUGGACACUUUAAUAAUAUAAUAACAAAGAAAAUUAAAAUAUUGGUGACAUUAUUGUUCAUUCAAACAUAAAUUUACUCUGGACUACAGUAGUAUUUUUUUUUUCAUACUCUUCCAAAUAAUGCAGGAAAUGAGGACCUGAAAUGACAGCAGCGAAUAA
This 24149-nucleotide long non-coding RNA is filed under the name Populus tremula. RNAcentral describes it as "long non-coding RNA (PTRE_LNC000339)". The record is from RNAcentral. Lineage: Eukaryota; Viridiplantae; Streptophyta; Magnoliopsida; Malpighiales; Salicaceae.